Molecule: long non-coding RNA, 300 nt
Organism: Corythoichthys intestinalis (scribbled pipefish)
Lineage: Eukaryota; Metazoa; Chordata; Actinopteri; Syngnathiformes; Syngnathidae
Exons: 3
Source: RefSeq, a predicted model, not a curated record
GGACGAUCCCCAGUCAUUGUGACACGGUCAGACAGAUAUGUUUUUUUUAGCAGUUUUCGGGGAUUUUUUAAAAGCAGAUUGGUCACUGAUAAAGGCAAUACAUGCAUGACUACACUGGAGUGACGAGUGAGGCAGUGAAGCAUUGAGGACCACCCGUGCGUGGAGAAAGCAGCGAGCAGGAAGGGAUAUGGGGGGACAGAAGACAGAGAGAGGAGAAGAACAAACAGCAACAAGAAAUACAUUGAACACCUCCACUACCCAUGAAUGAAGUGGUGCUAUCGUUAGCUAAUUGUAUUUCCC